Molecule: transfer RNA, 72 nt
Filed under: Acidobacteriota bacterium
Lineage: Bacteria; Pseudomonadati; Acidobacteriota
Also listed under: 1 other name
Description: Acidobacteria bacterium (groundwater metagenome) tRNA-Thr
Rfam family: tRNA
About the family: Transfer RNA (tRNA) molecules are approximately 80 nucleotides in length. Their secondary structure includes four short double-helical elements and three loops (D, anti-codon, and T loops). Further hydrogen bonds mediate the characteristic L-shaped molecular structure. tRNAs have two regions of fundamental functional importance: the anti-codon, which is responsible for specific mRNA codon recognition, and the 3' end, to which the tRNAs corresponding amino acid is attached (by aminoacyl-tRNA synthetases). tRNAs cope with the degeneracy of the genetic code in two manners: having more than one tRNA (with a specific anti-codon) for a particular amino acid; and 'wobble' base-pairing, i.e. permitting non-standard base-pairing at the 3rd anti-codon position.
Source: RNAcentral
GCUGGCGUAGCUCAGUGGUAGAGCAUCUGAUUUGUAAUCAGAGGGUCGUGGGUUCAAAUCCCUCCGCCAGCU